This is a long non-coding RNA of Vespa mandarinia (Asian giant hornet), 3097 nucleotides long. The record is from RefSeq and is a predicted model, not a curated record. NCBI's taxonomy places the organism in Eukaryota, Metazoa, Arthropoda, Insecta, Hymenoptera, Vespidae.
GGUUUUCUUAAUGUUUUGGAAUGAAAAAAGAUAGAGAUAAAAAAUAGAACAGCAAUUACAUUAAAUUAAGUGAUUUGCUUAGCAGUUUUCUAUUUGAGAAAUAAUCACGUAGAUCUGGGAAUAGCAACAAACUAUAUAGUAUACGUUUUAUUAUUGUUUAUGCAAGCCAUACGAAAGAUACUAAGAAAAGAACCAAGUGUGUAAUAAAAAUAAAAUGUGAUUACACGCUUGGCUUGAGUGAAAUAAGACACCCUUUGUUACGGCCCGACCGUCAUUUUUUCAUCGAACAUAUGGACAAUGAAACUUUCACAGCUAAGAAAGAAAAAAAGAAGAGAGGUGAAAAAAAAACGAAGAUGGACGUUUUGUUGCCACCUUGUAGGGAUAAGCAUGACAAAUUAUAUUAGAUUUUCACAUAUAUUCAAAUAUUGGCGCGAAGUUUAUCGAGGAUUAUGCUGUACGCAUACGUGACGCGACGUCAUAUUCGUACAAAGAACGUCAGCUCAACAUGCCUUCAUAUCGUCCUCAUUGAUUUCAGCUAGUUCCAGGUCGUGGGAUUGCGAACACGGGAAGGAAUAAUUAAUAAAUAAGAUUAUCUUAACAUUUAAACAAUGUACGAUAUAGGUAUAGUAUAAUUAAUUAAUAUUAAUUAAAACAAUAGGAUAUUCUUAGCAACGUUAUAAAAAUCAUAUACAUGUUGUACUACCAUAUACUAUUGAUUAAUAGAUAUACUAUCGAUUUAAAAUUGAAACGCACAGAAAACUUUCUUCGCUGUCAUUUCUAUUUAUUCUUAUUUACUCUCAUUAAUUAUCCUUUAUAUAUCUCGUGUGGGACCCAUAGGAUGGGUGAGGGCCUCUGUGCGGGUUGCUGUCUUAGCAUCGUGUAGAGCUGUUUAUAUUUUUUUUAUCUUUCUGUGGCUCUCUUUUCUGUCAUACUUUUCUUUUUUUAUUAUAUUUUUUUAAUAUUCAUUUAUGUUAUUUAUUUUUAAUUAUGUUUUUAAUUAUGUCAUUAAUAUACUCUUAUUAAUUAUGGUUUAUACCCUCGGGUGGAACACAUGGGAUGGGCCCAUGGGUGUGGGCCUCUGUGCGGGCUGCUGUUUCAGCAUCGUAUAGAACUGCUUCUCUUUUUUCUCUUUCUGCGGCUCUCUUUUUUUUUCUUUUUCGGCUCUUUUCUAUCUCAUAUUUUUCUUUUCUAAUUAUGUUUUCAAUUAUUUUAUUAAUAUAUUAUUUCUUUUAAUUAUGUUUUUUUAAUAUUUAUUUGAUAUUUUUUUAAAUUAUAUUUUUAAUUAUGUUAUUAAUAUACUCUUAUUAAUUAUGAUUUAUAAGCCUUAGGUAGGACCAUAGGAUGGUGCGGGCUGCUGUUUUAAGAUCGUGCAAAGCUACUUCUCUUUUCGUUUUUUUCUCUAGCUUUUUUAUUUAUUUAUAUAUAUUUAUUUUCUAUUUUGUUUAUUUUUUAUUAUAUUUAUUUUGUAUUUAUAAUCUAUAUAUAUAUUAUUUUCUAUUUUAUAUAUUUUUUUUCUUUCUCUUAUUUUCUCCUUAGGUUUUUCUUUCCCAUUAUAGAUCAUCGAGGGAUAGAUUCACCUGCGCUCGGAUGACUCCUCGCAUAGUUCGAUUCGCCAUCGAUUUUAACGCGAGAAUACGGGAAGGAUAGGAAGAACACUGUCGCGCAUGUCGGCGGGCAUAGGCGUGGGUGUUCUUGGGCGCGAUUAAACUUCGUUUGGUUGUUCGUGAGAAAACGCGGAUUAUAGAGUAGAGUCACUUUUAUUCUAACACUCACGUGGGUAUUCGGGCGCAAUUAAAGGUCCUACCGUGGAGUUCGUUUUAUUUGCUUGAAAAUUCGAUUAGAUUAUCUCGCGAACGCGUAUAUUAGAGGAGAGUCAGCGUUAUUUUAAUAUACACGUAAGUAUUGCGAACGCGAUUAAAAAUCCUACCGAGAACUGCGCUUUUAUUGUUCGAAAUCUGGAAAGCACGAACGGUCAUGCUGAAUAAUUCGUGAUGUCUGAGGAUGUCGAAUGGUGAAGCUAUCGGUAAGAGGGGUCUUAUACACUUCCAGUUAGCUGAGAAGCCUCAAAACACCUAAAACGGAAAGGCAUCACAGAUCGGUAUCGCGGAACGUGAAUUUUAGAGUAGUCACCGUUAGCCCGCGGGUCUCCAUAUGCAGCACGUAUUGAGAUCUGGGUCGGUAUUACUUACGAAGUUUAAUUCUAAAUCAUAUAACGCAAGUAUUACCGAGCGAAUGGCUGCGUCUUCAUGCGUUUUCAAAAUUUUUUCUUUUCAUAUCUUACUAGACAUUCAUUUAUAUUUUAUUAAUCGUAUUUUCUGCUUUUAUUUUCGCGAUUCUUUGUCCGGUUUUUUUACGAAGUUCUAAUUAAUAAUUGAUUAGGCUUCAUUUUAGGUUAUAUUAGAUUUUCAAAUAUUCGUGCAAAAUUUAUCGAGGAUUAUGUCGAGCGCAUGCGCGGAGAAUAAUACUGCAAAUGUUUUUGCGGUGAAAGAUGGAUACCAGAAACGGUACAUAUUCGUACGAUGGAUACUAGCUCGAUACGCCUCGUAUCCAUCGUUCUCGUUGAGUUCAGAUAUUCAGGAAAAUGAAGUCGAUUUGGUGAGCAGUUUUCCAGUUGAGAGGAAAAUCAUGUAAAUUUGGUAAUAGUAAUGAAGCAUGUAGUUUUAUUACUGUUUUAUGCAAACAAUAUGAAAGAUACUAAGAAUAGAACCAAGCGUGUAAUAAAACAAAACGUGGCUACACGCUUGUUAAGUAAAAUAUGAUACUCUUUGUUAUGGCCCAACCGUUAUUUUUCUUACAAAGACGUGACAAUGAAACUUUCAGAAUCGCGUUAAGAGGAAAAAGAAAAAACAUAAACAAAAGAAGAAGACCAACCGACAAGACGCUUACGUCGUUGUAACUUUAUGUAGAGAUAUACCAUUGAAUCGUUCUUAUUCGUGCUUGGUAUCGAUGUUUUCAACAGCUUCUUUUAAGCUAGAAUUAUUGGUGAUAAUUAUAACACGAUUCUUCACGAUUGAAUCAAGAAGACAUCUUUUGAGGACCCCUAUCCCAGAGCUUUUGUAAUGGAUCACGGUUGGAAAAAAGUGAAUAACAUUGAUUG